GACGAACGCUGGCGGCGUGCUUAACACAUGCAAGUCGAACGGAAAGGCCCUGCUUUUGUGGGGUGCUCGAGUGGAGAACGGGUGAGUAACACGUGAGUAACCUGCACUUGACUUUGGGAUAACUUCAGGAAACUGGGGCUAAUACCGGCUAGGAGCUCCUGCUGCAUGGUGGGGGUUGGAAAGUUUCGGCGGUUGGGGAUGGACUGGCGGCUUAUCAGCUUGGUGGAGGGGUAGUGGAUUACCAAGGCUUUGACGGGUAGCCGGGCUGAGAGGGUGACCGGACACAUCACGACUGAGAUACGGCCCAGACUACUAUGGGACGCAGCAGUGGGGAAGAUUGUACUAUGGGCUGAACCCUGAUGCAGCAACGCCGCGUGCGGUAUGACGUCCAUCGGGUUGUAUUCCGCUUCCGCCUUUGACGAAGCGUUAGUGACAGUAAUGGGUAAAGAAGCACCGGCUAACUACGUG
This 468-nucleotide ribosomal RNA is filed under the name uncultured bacterium. Its description in RNAcentral is "partial 16S ribosomal RNA". It matches the Rfam family "Bacterial small subunit ribosomal RNA", at positions 28 to 507 of the family's 1533-position model. The record is from RNAcentral.